UGCAGGAACCGUUCAUAUAGGCGUUGAAUUUGCCGCUGGACUCGUCCAGAUCAUAGUGUGUUACCCCUUUUGGGAGGAUACCGAUAGGAAAACCGUAGCCUUGGAUUACUUCGUAGGCCGUGGGGACCGCAACGGCGCCGGUGAGGACGACGACGAGAAUGAGGGAGAGAACAACGCCUCUGCCCGCCGACAUUUGGACUUUCGAUUGCAUUCUGCUAAUUCUCGAUUCAAUUCGAGAAUCGGAAGAAGGAAUUAUGGGGAAUUGAGCUUGUGGCCAAUUUUGGGAGUCUAUGACUUAUGGAGAAAGAAAGCACAACGUGGGAAACUCAUUCACGCUGUACAAAACAAAACUAAGAGAGG
This 360-nucleotide long non-coding RNA is filed under the name Salvia miltiorrhiza (redroot sage). RNAcentral describes it as "long non-coding RNA (SMIL_LNC003254)". The record is from RNAcentral. Lineage: Eukaryota; Viridiplantae; Streptophyta; Magnoliopsida; Lamiales; Lamiaceae.